Non-coding RNA from Ictidomys tridecemlineatus (thirteen-lined ground squirrel), 1883 nucleotides. NCBI's taxonomy places the organism in Eukaryota, Metazoa, Chordata, Mammalia, Rodentia, Sciuridae. The record is from RefSeq and is a predicted model, not a curated record.
CUGCAGCCCUUGAAGGCUCUGCCUGUGACUCCAGGCUGACAGUCUAGAGAGAAGGUGGCAGGCUUCAGAGAAUAUGUCCUCCCUUGCUUCCCGUCCUCAUUAUUUGGAGGCACUCUGCUUCCCAGAGCAAAAGUUAAACAACACUUUUGCCUUGGAUCAGCCUUGUCCUCCACUACAGGAGAAACACCCAGGGCUUCGGAGGGCUCGAGUUCCCUGGGAGCCACGGAGAGUGAAGAAGCAGAUGCCUGUUUUGAAGCAUCACCAGCUGGAGCUUCCCUGCAGCCUGUGCGGCCUGGGAAGGGCCCCUGCUGUUUGGCGGCUGCCUCUAGAGCUGGGCUCUUUCCCGCAGGGGUCCAACAGCCACCACCCCUCUGCUUCCCAGGUCCCUUCUCUGAUGCCCUCAGAAUGAAGGAGCAAGAUGCCAAGGCCUCGGCUGUCCUCCCAGGACUUGGGGCUCCCCCACACGCCCUCCUCCACUCUCUGGAGCGCGUACUCUCCGCACCGAACAUGCACAGACGGGGUCUUUGCUGCGCAUUGAGGUUCCCCGCGCAUGCGCAGAGACCCAUCAGCAAGCGGACAACAGGCCAAGGCGCACUUGCACUCCAGCCCCAGGAGCCUCGGAGUCCGCCCCACAGAUGAGCCACCAGUUCACUCCAGGGUGGGUCACUGAGCCCUGUGGCUUCCCACGCCUCAGAUGUCCCUGUUCCCUGUUCCCAAUCGGUUUCACCUUCAUGACCCCGUAUGGCAGCUUCUCCACAACCUCCAGGAGCAUCUAAGGACAGCAUCGUCUUUCCAGAGGAGACUGCCAAGGACCACCGUUUGCUGGUCACAGCAGCUCCCACCCAGGGCUCUGGGCUUGGAUUCUGCACCCCUCCACCCCUCCUGGCUCCCAGGGAAACACAAACCAGCCCAGAUGGCUCAUUUCUCCUUCUGGGACAUCCUAGAGUAGGGGUUACCCAGAGGGAAGAGGUAGGGAGAAAUGGUCUUCCAAAUGAGAGAAGACAGCUAAGGAAUGGAAUCCAUAUGAAAGGGAGUGGCUUUGAAACAAGAAAUUGACUCAAUAGGAGAACAAAGUCCCUAUGUGGAGAAAUAUUAUUAUUAUUUUUGCCCCAAGAGAGCAAAACAUCUCAACAUUUCUGCCUGAAAUCAUCUAUCAUUUCUGAACAGGGCUUGCUGCUGUCCUCUCCUGGUCCCCAGCUCACUCUGAUCCAGAUGCCCCUCCCUUGCCUCUGCACUGGCCCAGGUUCAUUCCUUUCUGAAAACCAGCUCAUACACACCUGUUCCUGGCUCCCAGCCUCCAGGGUCUUCAUUUUGCUGAACCCCUUCCCAUGUCUACACUGUUUGAGGCUAAUUUAAUGUCCUAGUUGGUAUUUUGUCUUGAGAGAGUCCAUUGGUUGUUGUGUGUGAGCUGACCAGAAGGAGGCGCACAUAUCUUCCUACACUCAUCCUGCUCUCCUUGCUGGGGACCCCAGGAGGUGGAGAGAACCUCUCCAUCCUAGGUCCACCGAAGCUACUCUUCUCAUUUCGUAUAGCACAAUCUACCUUGUGGGCCUCCAAGACAUUUGCCAGGGCUUCCUUCUGUUAAGUGACUAUUGAGUUUAAAAUUUCUAUGUGUUAGGUAUGAUUAUCCCAGUGAUGCUGGGCAACUGUUCAUUUCCAUGGAUUGAGAAUAAAUAGAAGUUUAGAGUUACGGAUAUAACUCAGUGGCAGAGUGCUUGCCUAGCAUUUGCAAGGCCCGGGGUUCAAUUUCCAGUACUAAAAAGCAGUUUAAGUUGCAGUAUGAAAGAUCUAAGCUUAAAAUAUAUAUAUAUUUUUUAUUCUAGAGCUGGGCACAGUGGUACAUUGCCUGUAAUCACAGUGGCUCAGGAGGUUGAGGCAGGAGG